UGAACGCUGGCGGUAUGCCUAACACAUGCAAGUCGUACGAGGGUUUUUAACUCUAGUGGCGGACGGGUGAGUAACACGUGAGAAUUUGCCUUUAGGAGGGGGAUAACAAUCGGAAACGAAUGCUAAUACCCCAUAUGCUUUUGAGUGAAAUGGAUUUAUCCGCCUAAAGAGAAGCUCGCGGCUGAUUAGCUUGUUGGUAAGGUAAGAGCUUACCAAGGCGACGAUCAGUAUCUGGUUUGAGAGGACGAUCAGACACACUGGAACUGAGACACGGUCCAGACUCCUACGGGAGGCAGCAGUGGGGAAUUUUCCGCAAUGGGCGAAAGCCUGACGGAGCAAUACCGCGUGAGGGAAGACUGCCUAUGGGGUUGUAAACCCUCUUUUUUCAGGGAGGAAUAAAUUGACGUGUACCUGAAGAAUAAGCAUCGGCUAACUCCGUGCCAGCAG
RNAcentral lists this ribosomal RNA (447 nucleotides) under uncultured bacterium. RNAcentral describes it as "bacterial SSU rRNA". It matches the Rfam family "Bacterial small subunit ribosomal RNA", at positions 30 to 514 of the family's 1533-position model. The record is from RNAcentral.